RNAcentral lists this ribosomal RNA (372 nucleotides) under uncultured bacterium. RNAcentral's name for it is "bacterial SSU rRNA". It matches the Rfam family "Bacterial small subunit ribosomal RNA", at positions 28 to 402 of the family's 1533-position model. The record is from RNAcentral.
GACGAACGCUGGCGGCGUGCUUAACACAUGCAAGUCGAGCGGUAAGGCCCUUUCGGGGUACACGAGCGGCGAACGGGUGAGUAACACGUGGGUGACCUGCCCUUAGCUCUGGGAUAAGCCUGGGAAACUGGGUCUAAUACCGGAUAUGACUCCAUAACGCAUGUUGUGGGGUGGAAAGCCUUGUGCGGCUAGGGAUGGGCCCGCGGCCUAUCAGCUUGUUGGUGGGGUGAUGGCCUACCAAGGCGACGACGGGUAGCCGGCCUGAGAGGGCGACCGGCCACACUGGGACUGAGACACGGCCCAGACUCCUACGGGAGGCAGCAGUGGGGAAUCUUGCGCAAUGGGCGAAAGCCUGACGCAGCGACGCCGCGU